Molecule: long non-coding RNA, 385 nt
Organism: Populus euphratica (Euphrates poplar)
Lineage: Eukaryota; Viridiplantae; Streptophyta; Magnoliopsida; Malpighiales; Salicaceae
Exons: 2
Source: RefSeq, a predicted model, not a curated record
AGUGGUACUGACUUGGGGAGCAGCAUCAGCAAGAAGUGGAUUCCGGGACUCCUUUCGCUUCUUGGCCGGCAAUUGCAAAGCGAUGGGUAGAUAGAGAUGGAGAGGAGAGGGCUUUACGUCUUGGUGGGGUUUUUUUCCUUUUGAAUUAUCAAGGUAAAUUGAUUGCGGGGGGGAGAGACGAGAACCCGGGAAGGGAAGUUUGUUGUGGCGGGAAGCUAAAAUUGUAACCCCUCCAUUUUUUUUGGUCCUAUAAUUUGAACGAUGAAAAUUUAGGUUUAGAACUUUACUAAUAAAAAACUUUGAAGUCCGGCCCUCUGACUAUGAGUAAGGUCUCGUUUAAGUCCUCCUACUUCUGGUAAUUUUAAAUGAAUGAAUGGUUCAUCAA